GUGCCAGCAGCCGCGGUAAUACCGGCAGCCCAAGUGAUGGCCGCUGUUAUUGGGCCUAAAGCGUCCGUAGCUGGCCGCACAAGUCCGUCGGGAAAUCCGCCCGCUCAACGGGCGGCCGUCCGGCGGAACCUGUGUGGCUUGGGACCGGAAGACCCGAGGGGUACGUCCGGGGUAGGAGUGAAAUCCCGUAAUCCUGGACGGACCGCCGGUGGCGAAAGCGCCUCGGGAAGACGGACCCGACAGUGAGGGACGAAAGCCAGGGUCUCCAACCGGAUUAGAUACCCUGGUAGUCC
RNAcentral lists this ribosomal RNA (293 nucleotides) under uncultured bacterium. Its description in RNAcentral is "partial 16S ribosomal RNA". It matches the Rfam family "Archaeal small subunit ribosomal RNA", at positions 455 to 747 of the family's 1478-position model. The record is from RNAcentral.